GACGAACGCUGGCGGCGCGCCUAACACAUGCAAGUCGAACGAGAGAGAGGAAGCUUGCUUCCUUAAUCGAGUGGCGAACGGGUGAGUAACGCGUGAGGAACCUGCCUCAAAGAGGGGGACAACAGUUGGAAACGACUGCUAAUACCGCAUGAUGCAUGAUCAGGGCAUCCUGGACAUGCCAAAGAUUUAUCGCUGAAAGAUGGCCUCGCGUCUGAUUAGCUAGUUGGUGAGGUAACGGCCCACCAAGGCGACGAUCAGUAGCCGGACUGAGAGGUUGACCGGCCACAUUGGGACUGAGAUACGGCCCAG
Molecule: ribosomal RNA, 309 nt
Filed under: uncultured bacterium
Lineage: Bacteria
Description: bacterial SSU rRNA
Rfam family: Bacterial small subunit ribosomal RNA
Source: RNAcentral